This 402-nucleotide ribosomal RNA is filed under the name uncultured bacterium. RNAcentral describes it as "bacterial SSU rRNA". It matches the Rfam family "Bacterial small subunit ribosomal RNA", at positions 358 to 774 of the family's 1533-position model. The record is from RNAcentral.
GGAAUAUUGGGCAAUGGGCGCAAGCCUGACCCAGCAACGCCGCGUGAGGGAAGAAGGUCUUCGGAUUGUAAACCUCUGUCCUUGGUGACGAAGGAAGUGACGGUAGCCAAGGAGGAAGCCCCGGCUAACUACGUGCCAGCAGCCGCGGUAAUACGUAGGGGGCGAGCGUUGUCCGGAAUUACUGGGCGUAAAGGGUGCGUAGGCGGCUUAGUAAGUCGGAUGUGAAACCCCCGGGCUUAACCCGGGACGUGCAUCCGAUACUGUUGAGCUAGAGUGCAGGAGAGGAAAGUGGAAUUCCUAGUGUAGCGGUGAAAUGCGUAGAUAUUAGGAGGAACACCAGUGGCGAAGGCGGCUUUCUGGACUGUAACUGACGCUGAGGCACGAAAGCGUGGGGAGCAAACA